Molecule: transfer RNA, 483 nt
Filed under: uncultured bacterium
Lineage: Bacteria
Description: 16S-23S ribosomal RNA intergenic spacer
Rfam family: tRNA (bases 85-158)
Source: RNAcentral
UAGAGAAAACUUUCUUUCUCGCGCCCACACUUAUCGGCUGUGCAUUGAACGUGCAUGCCGAGAACUAGAAACGACCUAGAUGCAGGGUCUGUAGCUCAGUUGGUUAGAGCACACGCUUGAUAAGCGUGGGGUCGGUGGUUCAAGUCCACCCAGACCCACCACCAACGGGGCCAUAGCUCAGCUGGGAGAGCGCCCGCUUUGCAAGCAGGAGGUCACCGGUUCGAUCCCGGUUGGCUCCACCAGUACUCCAGGAACUUAGUGCCAAGCGAAGUCUGGCUUUGCUUCGCCGUAAGUUUUGAUUCGGCUGCUCUUUAACAAUUUGGAAGAAGUGAAGCGAAUCCGGUUUUCUCAAGGCCGGAUUCGUCUGGGUAGUGAUUGCAUUAAAACGAGCAAAGGGGAUUUGUCUCCCCGAUGCUUAACCAAGCGCUUCCUAUGAUUCCUGGUUCGUACCAACACUGCGCCGAGCGGUGCUCAGGGUUAUAG